GAUGAACGCUGGCGGCGUGCCUAAUACAUGCAAGUCGAGCGAACAGAUGAGGAGCUUGCUCCUCUGACGUUAGUGGCGGACGGGUGAGUAACACGUGGAUAACCUACCUAUAAGACUGGGAUAACUUCGGGAAACCGGAGCUAAUACCGGAUAAUAUAUUGAACCGCAUGGUUCAAUAGUGAAAGACGGUUUUGCUGUCACUUAUAGAUGGAUCCGCGCCGCAUUAGCUAGUUGGUAAGGUAACGGCUUACCAAGGCAACGAUGCGUAGCCGACCUGAGAGGGUGAUCGGCCACACUGGAACUGAGACACGGUCCAGACUCCUACGGGAGGCAGCAGUAGGGAAUCUUCCGCAAUGGGCGAAAGCCUGACGGAGCAACGCCGCGUGAGUGAUGAAGGUCUUCGGAUCGUAAAACUCUGUUAUUAGGGAAGAACAAAUGUGUAAGUAACUAUGCACGUCUUGACGGUACCUAAUCAGAAAGCCACGGUUAACUACG
Molecule: ribosomal RNA, 495 nt
Filed under: uncultured bacterium
Lineage: Bacteria
Description: partial 16S ribosomal RNA
Rfam family: Bacterial small subunit ribosomal RNA
Source: RNAcentral